UUAGUUAUAUAAUGUUGAUGACCCCCCACCUAAAGUUCCAUUCCAAUAUCCAUUUGAAUUCCCAUUUCCCAUGCUUUGGCCAUUCUCCCUUGAUGAAUGUUGUUGAUUCAACACUCCAAAAGGGAACAUGAUUCCCUCAUUAUCUUCUUGAUUCCCCUGAAAGCCUCCUCCAUACUUGAUUCCAUUCCCUUGAAAAGGGAAACCCAUUGUUGGCUUGAAAUCUUGUAGAUUGAACCUUGUUUCAUUGAACAUUGCAUUUGAUUCAGAAGUCAAAGAAGAAGACAAAAAGUUGACAUUUCUAUUCUCAAUCUUGGGUAGCUUUAGAAACUGAGAGAACCCCCCAUGAUGGUAUUCUUGUUGAGAACUCAAGUUAAGAUCUUGAGCUUCAAGGGUGGUGAAACUUUGAGAAGAGAAUUGUGGGAGAUCAAUUGGUUUUGAGAUGGAUGGUGUUGAUGAAGAUAUCGGCCGCUUGUUCUUUCUUGAGCCGCCACCCACGGGAACACUUCGGAGCGACCCACCUUUAGUCCAAUACCUCUUACAAGCCUUGCAAAAGUAUCUUGGUUGAGUUAAGCUAUAAUUGUUGUAGUAACAAAACUUGGUGUUGGUUGAAUUGCAUCUUGGACACUUUAGUGGUUGUUCAUGUUGUGGCUUUACCUUCUUUUCUUGCACUUGGUUAUCAUUCAUAACAUCCUAAAAUAUCAACAACAACAAACAAACAAACAAACAAUGAAUGACUUUCUUUCUUUCUGUCUUUAAAUGAUCCCGAAAAAGGCGAAAAAGAAAGUAACUUGCUUUUGCUAGAAAAGAACCGAACCGAACCGAACCAAACAUCAUCGGUUAACAAAACUAUUUCAUACCAAACCUAGGUAGACAAACAAGUUAAAUACUUAUUGUAAAAGAUUAAAACAAAACUUACCUUUGGCCAUUGAGCAGCAUCCAUGAGUUGAAGGGGUUCCAAAAGAGAGUUUGAAUAAUGUGUGUGAUUUAGAGAAUUGAAGGAGAGAAUGUUAUGGGAAAUUCUUGUGUUUUGGCUUUAUUUGGUGAGUAAGAUUUGUAUAAUGAGUGGUGACAGAAACAUGGGAUUUUCUUUUUGACUUACUAUUGUGAAAUCAAACUAUUCUAAUGCUGCUUUUUGUUGCUAUCAUCUUUGACCUCUAAUGGAGUGGAGGAAAAUGGUUGAUGACAUUGCUCUUCCCAUAUUUUCCAAAUAGGUUUUCUAGCUUUCUAAUUAAGACUCACAGAAAAUUUUGAAAUGAUUAUCUACAGUUAAAUGUUGUUAUUUAUGUAUAAUCAAAUUAUAUCACUAUAAUCAUAUGCGUGGACAAAUUUCACGUGGUAACAUAAUGUCUUAAAAUUUACAUGAAACUAAAGUAGAUGUAUGAAAAAAAUUCAGCGAUUCGACAAAUAUUUCACAUAUAGUAAAAUUUUCCAGUGUUAUAUACUUAUAUACAACAAAAACUUUGUGAUCAUAUAUAAAAUAGGGUAAAGUUAAAAAUAAAACAUAUAUAUUUUGUGAGAACCAUAAGACUCGAUCAAAAACCAUUAAAAUUCAAAUUUUCUUUUUUACUCUUACCAUUGUUAUUAGUAUUACAACAUCAAAAAGAUAUUUGCGCAUUUAAAUUUAAAUGCGUACGAAAAUAGCUUUUUUUACAUAUGCGUAAGUUUACCAUUUAUACAUACAUAAGUUUUUACCAUUUACACACGUGUAAAUGGUUUGUUAAGAGUAAUUUGAAGAUGUUGGAUGAAUUAAUUGGUGAGUAAAUUCUUCUUUUAAUGUUGCAUUUUAGUAAUAAACUAAUAAUAAUGACAGUGUAGAAAAGGUAUUUGAUUUUGCUUGAUUUUUUAGAACUUCUCACAAUAUUU
This 1863-nucleotide long non-coding RNA is filed under the name Helianthus annuus (common sunflower). RNAcentral's name for it is "hypothetical non coding rna". Lineage: Eukaryota; Viridiplantae; Streptophyta; Magnoliopsida; Asterales; Asteraceae. The record is from RNAcentral.